RNAcentral lists this ribosomal RNA (264 nucleotides) under uncultured bacterium. RNAcentral describes it as "partial 16S ribosomal RNA". It matches the Rfam family "Bacterial small subunit ribosomal RNA", at positions 793 to 1055 of the family's 1533-position model. The record is from RNAcentral.
GUCCACGCCGUAAACGGUGGAUGCUGGAUGUGGGGCCCAUUCCACGGGUUCCGUGUCGGAGCUAACGCGUUAAGCAUCCCGCCUGGGGAGUACGGCCGCAAGGCUAAAACUCAAAGAAAUUGACGGGGGCCCGCACAAGCGGCGGAGCAUGCGGAUUAAUUCGAUGCAACGCGAAGAACCUUACCUGGGCUUGACAUGUUCCGGACAGCCUCGGAGACGGGGCCUCCCCUCGGGGCCGGUUCACAGGUGGUGCAUGGUCGUCGU